RNAcentral lists this long non-coding RNA (2062 nucleotides) under Homo sapiens (human). Its description in RNAcentral is "HSALNT0401096". Lineage: Eukaryota; Metazoa; Chordata; Mammalia; Primates; Hominidae. The record is from RNAcentral.
AGCCAGGACGGGCCGCCUCACACCGGCGGCGGCGGGUCCUCCGCGCGCCCUCUCCCGGGAGGGGCGGGGGCGGGGCUGCCUGCGGAUUGGUCGCGGGCACUGAUGGACAGCCGACAUGUCCCGCCCCCCCGGCAGCGCGGGGCUGGUCCGCAGGCAGUUCUGGCGACGGCCAGACCCACGUCUGUCUGUUCCGCCCCUGCUGCCAGGGUGGCUUUCAGUGGUCCUCUCUUUCGGAGAGUUCCCCCCAAGCGUGAGCACCCCUUACAGGGGCGUUAGGUCCGCGGCCGCGCUGUCCAGUGGUCUGACCUGCAGCUCCCAGGGCCUUUGUGUCUGUCCCUCGCAUGGGCCUCUGCACGCUCCGUCCCCACGCGACAGGACUCGAGUCCGAUUCGGGGCUCCGACUCAGACCCUACCCCGCAGCGCCCUCCUGCAAAUGCUCUCCUGAACUUUGGUUUUCCCCGCCUUGCUUUCUUCCUCCUCCUGUAGCCGCUGCCUCUCGAUCUCAGAAGCUUCUCUUCCUCUGCACUCAGUGCUAGGCCAGAUCCCAAGGCGACCUGACCUUUCCCCUGGCUUUGCCCAACAACACAGGCACCGGUGACUCCAAACCUGCAUCUCCCCUACGUUCCAGGCCCCAGCAUCCCACUGCAUGUUCCACAUCCCCCCCCCUUAGACAGCUCGCCUUCCCUCCCCAAACGAUUCCUUCCACAGUCUUCACUUUCUCAGAACGCGGCGCUAAACUUCUCUAAGUUGGAAGGUCAAAAACCUUGCAGCUAACUUUGAUUCCUCCCUUUGCCUCACCUCCAAUCCAUCAAGACCUUGUCACUCAGCCCACAAGCUGAAGGCCCCAUCUCCUGUCACCCAGACUACUCACCUUGUUUGGUUUUGCCUGGAUCUAUCAGUUUGGUUUUGCCUGGAUUUAUCAUGCUUUAAAUCUUUAAAAUGAAAUUAAAUCAUGAUCCCCUACAUCCAGGCUAAAACCCUCCGUGAAUUCCCAUUGCACCUAAAAUCCACACUCCCUGCUUGGCCUAGCAGGUUCUAUAUGACCUGCCCAUCUCACCAGUUUCAUCUCUCACAAGUGAUCCUUCACUCUCCAUUCUCCAGCCACAAGGCCUUUUUCUGGUUAUGGAAUAUAAUUCAUACUCUUUGUCUUUCUGAAGCCAUUCUUGAAACUCACCCCUGCAAUCUAUCUACCCUUGUCAGCACCGCCAAAAUUGAGGACACCCACGGUCGCGGUGGAGCCUGUCUGACAUGUUGAGCCAGGCAGUGGGUCGGCUGCCAGGCACAGCAGGACAACUUACUGCAUUUCAGAGGAAUGAUGGUCCACAAUUUACUGAUGAGGAAACAGAGAUUCAGAGAAGUUCUACAAUUUGCCCCAAAGCCACAUAACAUGACUAGGUGGGAACUAGAACCCAAGUCGGCCUGACUCCAUGAGUUUUCUGCCUCACAGGAGAUCCACUGGCUUAGGUAAGUCCUGGUGGUCAGUAGUCAGUGGGCAUGGAGGCUAUCUGGUUAAUCAGCAUGGGUGAGGGGAGGCAUGCUCACCGCUGGCCUUGGGCACAGGGAAUCCAGCAGAACGUGAGUGCUCACAGAGUGUGGCUUGAACUGGCUUAGGCUUGAAGUUCUGUGGACCCUGCUCUUCUCUGUGUUGGGCAUUGACAACAUGAGGAGCACAAGAGAGACACAGCGCCAGCUCUCUGGGAGUUCAGACAUUAAAUAAACACUCUGUUACAUAAAGACAAUUAUGAUGAGGGCUAGAAGGAAAAACAUUGGGUCGAGAUCUCUUCAGACCUCAGCAGAGGUCUAAAGGAAGUGAGUCGAUGGCGAGGUGAAUUAUUAAAGGUGGGUUGGAGAAAAGUACAUUCCAAGUAGAGGUAACAGCAUGUACAAAGGCCCUGAGGCCAGGAAGAGGUUGUUGAAUUUAGGGUUACAAAGCUAGAGUUUCCUGACUGAGGAGGGGACAGGGAGUGAUGAGACCAGGAAGGCAGACGGGGGCUGAAUGGGGCCCCUCUCUGGCUGUCUGAUCCUGUUUUGUACAGGAGGCACCCUCUUAAGUGCUGCAGCC